Molecule: long non-coding RNA, 971 nt
Organism: Acanthopagrus latus (yellowfin seabream)
Lineage: Eukaryota; Metazoa; Chordata; Actinopteri; Spariformes; Sparidae
Exons: 4
Source: RefSeq, a predicted model, not a curated record
UGCAAGUUGGGUCUCGGUCCCUAUGUGAAGUUUGAGUCACAUUAGUAAAAAAAUGUUUUUGACUGCCUUUAACGAGGAAAAAGAGUGUCGCAAUUCAGCUUUUCUUUGCAAAUCGAUAUUGCCAAGCAACAUGACUCUAUCAAAACUGUCGCUGUGGCCACACCAGGCGUGUUAAAGUCUGGACCUCCUCGAAGACCUCACACUGAUAGGCCUCUCUCCCUUUCUUCUGCCCUCUAUUCUUCAUUAUCUAAUUCAAGUGUCAGUUUUCAGCCGGCGCCUGCGUUGACCCUUUCUUCUGCCGUUGUCUCUGCUCAGCGGGGCAGGAUGCCUCCCACUUAAUCGUUGAUCCAAUUAGUUUGGGAAACCUUUCUCUGCUUCUUUACAUGAAUGAAGGGCACUGAAUAAAAAUGUGCAACAAAAGAACACACACCUGGCAUCUCUAUGCCCCAUUCAGUAUUGGGAGCACAAGGAGAACACUGCACUGCGCUACACAGCUAUUCCCUUCAAGAACAUUGUUAGGUGAAGCAAAUCAGCCAAUCAUCAGGAGCAAUUUGGAGUGCAGUAUCUUGCUCAAGGACGCUUCAGCAUGCAGCUAGGAGGAGCUGGGAUCCAAACCUUCCGAUUACUAGACGACCCUCUCUACCUCCUGAGCUACAGUGUAGGCAGGUGCCAAGUCCUGCUGGAAAAUUGAAAUCAGCAUCUCCAUGAAGCAGAAGGAAGCAUGAAGUGACCUGAAAUUUCCUGGUAGAUGACUGUGUUGACUUUGGACUUGAUAAAACACAGUGAACCAACACCAGAAGAUGACAUGGCUCCCCAAAUCAUCACUGACGGUGGAAAUCUCACACUGGACUUGAAGCAACUUGGAUUCUGUGCCUCUCUACGCUUCCUCUAGACCCUGGGACCUUGAUUUCCAAAUGAAAUACAAAAUUUAGUUCCAUCUGAAAGAGGACUUUGGACCACUGAUUGACAGA